ACUGCUCAGUAACACGUGGAUAACCUGCCCUGCGGUGGGAAAUAACCCCGGGAAACUGGGGAUAAUGUCCCAUAGGCUGCGGAUGCUGGAAUGCUCUGUAGCUCAAAGAUUUAUCGCCACAGGAUGGGUCUGCGGCCGAUUAGGUAGUUGUUGGGGUAACGGCCCAACAAGCCUUUGAUCGGUACGGGUUGUGGGAGCAAGAGCCCGGAGAUGGAUUCUGAGACACGAAUCCAGGCCCUACGGGGCGCAGCAGGCGCGAAAACUUUACAAUGCGGGAAACCGUGAUAAGGGAACUCCGAGUGUCCGUAAAUGCGGACUGUCCGUAUGUUUAAAAAGCAUGCGAAGAAAGGGCCGGGCAAGACCGGUGCCAGCCGCCGCGGUAAUACCGGCGGCUCGAGUGGUGGCCACUAUUACUGGGCUUAAAGCGUUCGUAGCUGGGUUGUUAAGUCUCUUGGGAAAUCUACCGGCUUAACCGAUAGGCGUCCAAGGGAUACUGGCAAUCUAGGGACCGGGAGAGGUGAGGGGUACUUCAGGGGUAGGAGUGAAAUCCUGUAAUCCUUGGGGGACCACCUGUGGCGUAGGCGCCUCACCAGAACGGCUCCGACAGUGAGGGACGAAAGCUGGGGGAGCAAACCGGAUUAGAUACCCGGGUAGUCCCAGCCGUAAACGAUGCGCGUUAGGUGUAUCGAUGACCACGAGUCAUCGAGGUGCCGAAGGGAAACCGUGAAACGCGCCGCCUGGGAAGUACGGUCGCAAGGCUGAAACUUAAAGGAAUUGGCGGGGGAGCACCACAACAGGUGGAGCCUGCGGUUUAAUCGGACUCAACGCCGGAAAUCUCACCGGAUAAGACAGCUGAAUGA
This 860-nucleotide ribosomal RNA is filed under the name uncultured archaeon. Its description in RNAcentral is "bacterial SSU rRNA". It matches the Rfam family "Archaeal small subunit ribosomal RNA", at positions 85 to 950 of the family's 1478-position model. The record is from RNAcentral.